RNAcentral lists this ribosomal RNA (239 nucleotides) under uncultured bacterium. Its description in RNAcentral is "partial 16S ribosomal RNA". It matches the Rfam family "Bacterial small subunit ribosomal RNA", at positions 335 to 561 of the family's 1533-position model. The record is from RNAcentral.
ACUCCUACGGGAGGCAGCAGUGGGGAAUAUUGCACAAUGGGCGCAAGCCUGAUGCAGCCAUGCCGCGUGUAUGAAGAAGGCCUUCGGGUUGUAAAGUACUUUCAGCAGUGAGGAAGGUGGAUAUGUUAAUAGUACAUACUCAUUUGACUGUUAGCUUGCAGAAGAAGACACCGGCUAACUCCGUGCCAGCAGCCGCGGUAAUACGGAGGGUGCGAGCGUUAAUCGGAAUUACUGGGCGU